AAUUUUCAACCCAAGGCUGAGUUCAACCCCUGGGUUGAAAUUUCAACCCUGCAACCCCGGGGUUGAACUCAGCCCUGGGUUGAAAA
Non-coding RNA from Paramuricea clavata, 86 nucleotides. Lineage: Eukaryota; Metazoa; Cnidaria; Anthozoa; Malacalcyonacea; Plexauridae. The record is from the annotation of a GenBank genome assembly.